GUGAAUCAUCGAAUCUUUGAACGCACCUUGCACCCUUUGGAAUUCCGAAGGGUAUGCUCGUUUGAGUGUCAUUGUACUCUCACACUCCCUACUCCUUUGGAUUUGGGGAGCGGUGGACUUGGGUGCUUGCUGCUUUCCUUGUGGCUCACCUCAAAUGUGUCAGUGCAUCUCUUGAUUGGACAUAGUACGGCGUGAUAAGUGUCUUCGCCGGCAUCUCGUAAGAGGGUGGCCGAUCGGGAGCUCUGUGCUUUCGAACCGUCUUCGGACAAUCUCUGACAACUUGACCUCAAAUCGAGUAGGACUACCCGCUGAACUUAAGCAUAUCAAUAAGCGGAGG
RNAcentral lists this ribosomal RNA (337 nucleotides) under uncultured Sebacina. RNAcentral describes it as "eukaryotic LSU rRNA". The stretch from base 1 to 71 matches the Rfam family "5.8S ribosomal RNA", at positions 84 to 154 of the family's 154-position model. The record is from RNAcentral. Lineage: Eukaryota; Fungi; Basidiomycota; Agaricomycetes; Sebacinales; Sebacinaceae.